RNAcentral lists this ribosomal RNA (504 nucleotides) under Engyprosopon grandisquama (largescale flounder). RNAcentral describes it as "partial 16S ribosomal RNA". It matches the Rfam family "Bacterial large subunit ribosomal RNA", at positions 1963 to 2591 of the family's 2925-position model. Lineage: Eukaryota; Metazoa; Chordata; Actinopteri; Pleuronectiformes; Bothidae. The record is from RNAcentral.
AAUCACUUGUCUUUUAAAUGGAGACCUGUAUGAAAGGAAUGACGAGGGCUUAACUGUCUCCUUUUUCCAGUCAAUGAAAUUGAUCUUCCCGUGCAGAAGCGGGAAUAGCAACACAAGACGAGAAGACCCUGUGGAGCUUGAGACGCUCGGGCGGCUCAUGUUAGAUACCCCUUCUCCAGGAAAAAACUCAAUGAAUUCCACCCGUAUGUCUUCGGUUGGGGCGACCUUGGGGAACACCAAACCCCCACGUGGAUUAGGAGCACUAAACAAUACUACCCUAAAACCCAAUACUCCCUCCUAGAAACUAGAGCCCCCACUCUGGUUAACGAGACUCUCGACUUACAAUGAUCCGGGCACACCGAUCAACGAACCUAGUUACCCCAGGGAUAACAGCGCUAUCCCCUUCCAGAGCCCAUAUCGCCAAGGGGGUUUACGACCUCGAUGUUGGAUCAGGACAUCCUAAUGGUGCAGCCGCUAUUAAGGGUUCGUUUGUUCAACGAUUAA